UACCAGACUCCUACGGGAGGCAGCAGUGGGGGAUAUUGCACAAUGGGGGAAACCCUGAUGCAGCGACGCCGCGUGAGUGAAGAAGUAUUUCGGUAUGUAAAGCUCUAUCAGCAGGGAAGAAGAUGACAGUACCUGAGUAAGAAGCCCCGGCUAACUACGUGCCAGCAGCCGCGGUAAUACGUAGGGGGCAAGCGUUAUCCGGAUUUACUGGGUGUAAAGGGAGCGUAGACGGCAUGGCAAGUCAGAUGUGAAAGCCCGGGGCUCAACCCCGGGACUGCAUUUGAAACUGUCAGGCUGGAGUGCAGGAGAGGUAAGUGGAAUUCCUGGUGUAGCGGUGAAAUGCGUAGAUAUACGGAGGAACACCAGUGGCGAAGGCGGAUUGCUGGACAGUAACUGACGCUGAGGCGCGAAAGCGUGGGGGGCAAACAGGAUUAGAUACCCUAGUA
RNAcentral lists this ribosomal RNA (446 nucleotides) under uncultured bacterium. Its description in RNAcentral is "bacterial SSU rRNA". It matches the Rfam family "Bacterial small subunit ribosomal RNA", at positions 329 to 792 of the family's 1533-position model. The record is from RNAcentral.